UUGGUGAUUUGUCAUGAGCAGGUGUGGCUGGAAUGCAAGAAGGCAUCGCUUUCGCCAUAUUCACCAAGAAAAGAUGUGAAGACUUCUUCAAGUAGACAUCUCCUGCCAUGUGACACUGCUUGGCCUUAGGCAACAGUGAAUGCUUUGUGCAUUACCCAAGGGCAAAGGACUGACCAGCGCCUAAGCAAGCACAGUGCCAGCGUAACAGAUGGGCAUCCACGAGGUAGCCAAGAAGCCAUGUAUGUACAUCAAGUGUAUUUCAGAGCUGGAUUCCCAGCCAAGAACAGCUGUCUAUCCUUAGUUUAGAUGCCUAUAGUUUAGUGAGGGAUCUGCCAUUGCUAAUCCAACUUCAGAGCGCGUUUAAACUUUCAAAAACAUAUAAAUAGCUUUCCCUGCCACAGAAGGAGAGCUUUGGACCCACUUUAAGCUGAGGGAGUCGAGUGUGUAAAUGGGCUUUAGGAGAACCUUUCAGUGCCCCCACUUACCUUUCAGUAGCGGUUCAAGUGGAAACUCCAUGACAGAUGCAUUUCCCCCAAGCCAGUUCUUGGUAGAACAGGGCCAGAGGGACAGAAAGUAUCUCUCAUGAACACAAAGUACAUGAAAGUCUUGAAGCACCCAGAUAUGUGGGAAGGGUUCAAAAGCCUUUUGUGCUGAAACAUCAGCAUCAAGGGUGCCAACUUAAAUAAAAUAUUGGGGGUUGAGGAACAUAAUUGGUCUUGGAGGAUGAAACUGAUGGACUACGCAGAAUUAAAUAAACUAACGGGAAGAAUUCGAAACCGGCGGGACCAGAGAUUCACGGAAGAUUGGCGUAAAUUUAUGGACAUAUGAAAAGUAAUUGUGAUGACCAGAUUACAUUUGUAGGUUUGCGGGAAGUUUUGUGAGGGGAAUAAUUUGUAUUACUGCACUAUUGAACAAAAAGGAUAAUAUUAGUUGUGAUAAUUAAAGGCAAUAUGAAUUUAAGAAAUGCAGAAGAUAUUAUAAAUAUGGAAGAUCUACAGAGGCGCUGAUGGAAGUCCAAAAAGAUUGUAUACGAGGUGAAAUUUGGUGGAAUGUUUGUUAAACAAUAUGUUUUAAAAUAAAUAGAAAUUAUUAUAAAAAAAGGAACAUAAUCGGUCACAUGAUGUGGUGCGCCCACACUGUUUGAAUGCCCAUCAACACUGGGGAGGGUCGAAGGGACCUCGGCUGCUAGGAAUUGGCUCCUAUGAUCAGCAUGGAAAACUUGUGAUGUUAUGCAACUUAAAAGCACCAAAGGUUGUGACACAUUUCUUCUUGCAGAGCACUGAUCACUGCUUUGCAUGUGAAAGACUUAAGAUUCUAUCAGAGGAGAGAUUUGGAUCCUUGUAUCCCAGCACAGUGGUGUUCAUUUGCAAAUACCUUGGUAAGGGGGAAGGAACAUAAUGUACCAGAAGAAUCCUAGUGCUUCAAUGAUGUUUUGCUUUUUACAUUCUAUACAUUUAUUGGGAAGCUGUGCACCAAAUCAUUAAUGACUUAUUCAGUUGGUAUCUAUGUUGACAAUGUGAUUAUUAGUGUCCUUCCCAGAGACUAAUGCCCGCAGAUGUGUUAAGUGUUGAAUGUUAUUUUUGGCAGUAUUACUAUCUUUCUAUUUUGAAUAUGCCAAUUUCAUGGACAGCCUCACUUCAUAUACAUGCUCCCUAGAGUCGUGGUAAGCAUAAUUUCUGGUUCAUUUCUCAGCAGUGUGUUAAUGUUUGAAGAAACCAAACAUACCUGGGACCCAAACAGCGGCUUUCUAGAAGCUCAGUAUUACGAAAUGGAUCAAGUUUGCUAGAACAAUAAAUAUUGACUGUUGAAAAAGGCUUUAAUGAAGAAAACAAUGAUACAUUUGAGAGGUAC
RNAcentral lists this long non-coding RNA (1851 nucleotides) under Podarcis lilfordi (Lilford's wall lizard). Lineage: Eukaryota; Metazoa; Chordata; Lepidosauria; Squamata; Lacertidae. The record is from RNAcentral.